GACGAACGCUGGCGGCGUGCUUAACACAUGCAAGUCGAACGCUGAAGCUCAGCUUUUGUUGGGUGGAUGAGUGGCGAACGGGUGAGUAACACGUGAGUAACCUGCCCCCUUCUUUGGGAUAACGCCCGGAAACGGGUGCUAAUACUGGAUAUUCACUGGUCUUCGCAUGGGGGUUGGUGGAAAGGGUUUUUCUGGUGGGGGAUGGGCUCGCGGCCUAUCAGCUUGUUGGUGGGGUGAUGGCCUACCAAGGCUUUGACGGGUAGCCGGCCUGAGGGGGUGACCGGUAACAUUGGGACGGAGAUACGGCCCAGACUCGUACGGGAGGCGGCAGUGGGGAAUAUGGCACAAUGGGCGCAAGCCUGAUGCAGCGACGCCGCGUGAGGGAUGGAGGCCUUCGGGUUGUGAACCUCGUUCGCUAAUGGUCAAGCCGCAACAAUGGUUGUGGUGAGGGUAGUGGGUAAAGAAGCGCCGGCUAACUACGUG
This 483-nucleotide ribosomal RNA is filed under the name uncultured bacterium. RNAcentral describes it as "partial 16S ribosomal RNA". It matches the Rfam family "Bacterial small subunit ribosomal RNA", at positions 28 to 507 of the family's 1533-position model. The record is from RNAcentral.